AAGCGCACGUAGGCGGCUUCGUAAGUCUGGUGUGAAAUCUCACGGCUCAACCGGGAGGCUGCACCAGAUACUGCGGAGCUCGAGGACGGGAGAGGAGAUCGGAAUUCCCGGUGUAGCGGUGAAAUGCAUUGAUAUCGGGAGGAACACCAGUGGCGAAGGCGGAUCUCUGGCCCGUUGCUGACGCUGAGGUGCGAAAGCUGGGGGAGCGAACAGGAUUAGAUACCCUGGUAGUCCACGCCGUAAACGGUGGGUACUAGGUGUGGGUUUCCUUCCUUGGGAUCCGUGCCGUAGCUAACGCAUUAAGUACCCCGCCUGGGGAGUACGGCCGCAAGGCUAAAACUCAAAGGAAUUGACGGGGACCCGCACAAGCGGUGGAUGAUGUGGUUUAAUUCGAUGCAACGCGAAAAACCUUACCCACCUUUGACAUGGCAGGAAGUUUCCAGAGAUGGACUCGUGCUCGAAAGAGAACCUGCACACAGGUGCUGCAUGGCUGUCGUCAGCUCGUGUCGUGAGAUGUUGGGUUAAGUCCCGCAACGAGCGCAACCCUUGUCAUUAGUUGCUACAUUUAGUUGGGCACUCUAAUGAGACUGCCGGUGACAAANCCGGAGGAAGGUGGGGAUGACGUCAAGUCCUCAUGGCCCUUAUAGGUGGGGCUACACACGUCAUACAAUGGCUGGUACAGAGGGUUGCCAACCCGCGAGGGGGAGCUAAUCCCAUAAAACCAGUCGUAGUCCGGAUCGCAGU
RNAcentral lists this ribosomal RNA (744 nucleotides) under uncultured Delftia sp. RNAcentral's name for it is "bacterial SSU rRNA". It matches the Rfam family "Bacterial small subunit ribosomal RNA", at positions 563 to 1304 of the family's 1533-position model. Lineage: Bacteria; Pseudomonadati; Pseudomonadota; Betaproteobacteria; Burkholderiales; Comamonadaceae. The record is from RNAcentral.